GCUGGGUGUGGUGGCGCGCUCCUGUAAUCCCAGCUACUUGGGAGGCUGAGGCAGGAGAAUCACUUGAACCCAGGAGGCAGAGGUUGCAGUGAGCCGAGAUCGUGCCACUGCACUCCAGCCUGGGCAACAAAGCGAGAGUCUGUCUUAA
This 148-nucleotide non-coding RNA is filed under the name Pan paniscus (pygmy chimpanzee). RNAcentral also lists the same sequence under 1 other name. Lineage: Eukaryota; Metazoa; Chordata; Mammalia; Primates; Hominidae. The record is from Rfam by way of RNAcentral.